This 407-nucleotide ribosomal RNA is filed under the name uncultured bacterium. RNAcentral's name for it is "partial 16S ribosomal RNA". It matches the Rfam family "Bacterial small subunit ribosomal RNA", at positions 30 to 526 of the family's 1533-position model. The record is from RNAcentral.
AUUGAACGCUGGCGGCAGGCCUAACACAUGCAAGUCGAGCGGAGCGGCGGACGGGUGAGUAAUGCCUGGGAAUCUGCCUGGUCGUGGGGGAUAACGUCCGGAAACGGGCGCUAAUCUCGCACACUUUCAGAUGAGCCUAGGUCGGGUUAGCUAGCUGGUGGGGUGAAGGCCUACCAAGUCCACGAGCCGUAACUGGUCUGAGAGGAUGAUCAGUCACACGGGAACUGAGACACGGUCCAGAGUCCUACGUGAGGCAGCAGUGGGGAAUAUUGGACAAUGGGCGAAAGCCUGAUGCAGCCAGGCCGCGUGUGUGAAGAAGGUCUUAGGAUUGUAAAGCACUAUAAGUUGGGAGGCGUUACCCGCAGAAUAAGCACCGGCUAACUACGUGCCAGCAGCCGCGGUAAUUC